AUUCCAUUAUGUCUACGAUGAAAUAAAUUAUUUUUUUGCACGACCAAGGGCUUCAAAUAAUUUAUCAAAAUUUAGAUAUAUUAUGAUUGGGAAAAAUCAAAAAAUUAAAUAUCUUAUGAUUCACCAAAUAGCGUAUUAUAACUUUCUUAGUGCAAAUAGGUUGAAUUAUCAUAGAAAAAUUAAUUAGGGUCAAAAAAAGGAGGCCCCGGC
RNAcentral lists this long non-coding RNA (210 nucleotides) under Elaeis guineensis (African oil palm). RNAcentral's name for it is "long non-coding RNA (EGUI_LNC000932)". The record is from RNAcentral. Lineage: Eukaryota; Viridiplantae; Streptophyta; Magnoliopsida; Arecales; Arecaceae.